UGUGGGACUCAUUGCCGUCGUCGGUGGUCAGGUUUGGGCUUUUGACAGCCCAACUGCAUCAUACUAGCUAUUUCCCCUGCAAAUCAGGAUCUUGCUACAUCUGAUGCCAUUAAGAUCUCUCGUGAAGUUGAUCCAAAAGGUUCUGUUUGGCUGCGAAUGUGAUUAUAGGUUACUCUUGCUGGAUUUAGGAAUGGCAAGUUUUCUACAUUGGUGGCUACAAAUGUUGCUGCUCGUGGUCUAGAUAUAUCAAUGAUGUGCAGUUAAUUAUUCAGCUCAAUGGAGGAAUUUCAGUCAUCUAUAGAUAUGGAGUCCCAUAGGAGUUCACCAGAGAAUGACCUUUUAUCGUCUGUAGCUUUGUCAGGUCCUUUAUUUCGGAGCACAAUCUAUCAUCUGAAAGUACCAGGGUCUUCAAUUACGUCUCUGGGACCAGAAUAUACACUUCAAAACAAGUCAUAUAGCCUAUAUAGUGAUAAAAGAUAAUG
Arabidopsis lyrata subsp. lyrata is the source of this 482-nucleotide long non-coding RNA. RefSeq lists it as uncharacterized. The transcript is spliced from 3 exons. NCBI's taxonomy places the organism in Eukaryota, Viridiplantae, Streptophyta, Magnoliopsida, Brassicales, Brassicaceae. The record is from RefSeq and is a predicted model, not a curated record.